Tarenaya hassleriana is the source of this 424-nucleotide long non-coding RNA. RefSeq lists it as uncharacterized. NCBI's taxonomy places the organism in Eukaryota, Viridiplantae, Streptophyta, Magnoliopsida, Brassicales, Cleomaceae. The record is from RefSeq and is a predicted model, not a curated record. The transcript is spliced from 4 exons.
AGCUCAGCGACUGACGUUUUCCGGCGAGGGUUAGUACGGCGGCGGAACUCAGCCGGAGAGAAGCCAACGGCGUUGAGAUUGCACCGCCAAUAAGCAUGGAUUCCUCAGCUCACAAAUUUUUUCUUUCGGGAUGUCGCAUUCAAGGGAGAUGGGAGCGUGUGCAGGCUAUUGUUGAUGGAAAUGCGUUGGCCAUUCGGCUUUGCUCCGGAGGAUCAUGUGAAGUGAAGAGAGCUAGCAUGACUCUCUCUUGUGUUUGGCGAAUCAAAGAUGUUGGUGAAGGUGGUUUCCUACUUUGAGGGGAGGGGGCCACUCCCUUUGGAACAAAAAUAUUUGACGAGAGACGAGGACCCUUUUCGCAAUAUCGGAGUAAUGAUACACAAACAAACAUAUAUUAUAAGCAUAAGAUCCAAUGGAGAAAAAGAUG